This 258-nucleotide long non-coding RNA is filed under the name Olea europaea (common olive). Its description in RNAcentral is "long non-coding RNA (OEUR_LNC006921)". The record is from RNAcentral. Lineage: Eukaryota; Viridiplantae; Streptophyta; Magnoliopsida; Lamiales; Oleaceae.
GGAUGGUCUUCGACCUAAAACAACUCCCCCAGUACUCUUGUUUUGCCUCUCUCUCAACCCGAGGAGGGUUUAGAAUCCCGAGGAUGCCUAGCUCCCUGAAAGGGUGGAAGGACAAGUGGUUUUAUGCCAUAUCUCAAGAUCCCGACAUUCCCUUUAGUCCUCGGUGGGGGGUGCCUGAUACUGCUAGGUUUUGUGGGGGUCAGGCGUAUUUUGAGUCGUUGGAGAGGCAUAGGCAAAUGCUAGAGGAGCUCGAGCCCC